GACGAACGCUGGCGGCGUGCUUAACACAUGCAAGUCGAACGGAAAGGCCCUGCUUUUGUGGGGUGCUCGAUUGGCGAACGGGUGAGUAACACGUGAGUAACCUGCCCUUGACUUUGGGAUAACUUCAGGAAACUGGGGCUAAUACCGGAUAGGAGCUCCUGCUGCAUGGGGGGGGUUGGAAAGUUUCGGCGGUUGGGGAUGGACUCGCGGCUUUUCAGCUUGUUUGUGGGGUAGUGGCUUACCAAGGCUUUGACGGGUAGCCGGCCUGAGAGGGUGACCGGCCACAUUGGGACUGAGAUACGGCCCAGACUCCUACGGGAGGCAGCAGUGGGGAACCUUGCACAAUGGGCGGAAGCCUGAUGCAGCAACGCCGCGUGCGGGAUGACGGCCCUCGGGUUGUAAACCGAUUUCGACUGUGACGAAGCGUGAGUGACGGUAAUGGGUAAAGAAGCACCGGCUAACUACGUG
RNAcentral lists this ribosomal RNA (468 nucleotides) under uncultured bacterium. RNAcentral describes it as "partial 16S ribosomal RNA". It matches the Rfam family "Bacterial small subunit ribosomal RNA", at positions 28 to 507 of the family's 1533-position model. The record is from RNAcentral.